GGAGAAUUAGCUCAGAUGGUCGAGCGCUUGCUUUGCAUGCAUGAGGUAGUGGGAUUGAUGCCCGCAUUCUCCA
Molecule: transfer RNA, 73 nt
Organism: Alligator mississippiensis (American alligator)
Lineage: Eukaryota; Metazoa; Chordata; Crocodylia; Alligatoridae
Rfam family: tRNA
About the family: Transfer RNA (tRNA) molecules are approximately 80 nucleotides in length. Their secondary structure includes four short double-helical elements and three loops (D, anti-codon, and T loops).
Source: Rfam